RNAcentral lists this non-coding RNA (21 nucleotides) under Rattus norvegicus (Norway rat). Lineage: Eukaryota; Metazoa; Chordata; Mammalia; Rodentia; Muridae. The record is from RNAcentral.
UGAGAACAAUUAAGAUGGACG